Molecule: ribosomal RNA, 198 nt
Filed under: uncultured bacterium
Lineage: Bacteria
Description: partial 16S ribosomal RNA
Rfam family: Bacterial small subunit ribosomal RNA
Source: RNAcentral
ACGCUCGACACCUACGGGAGCAGCAGUGGGGAAUAUUGCACAAUGGGGGAAACCCGUGAUGCAGCGACGCCGCGUGAGCGAAGAAGUAUUUCGGUAUGUAAAGCUCUAUCAGCAGGGAAGAAACUGACGGUACCUGACUAAGAAGCACCGGCUAAAUACGUGCCAGCAGCCGCGGUAAUCUGAGCGGGCUGGCAAGGC